This is a long non-coding RNA of Pipra filicauda (Wire-tailed manakin), 1812 nucleotides long. RefSeq lists it as uncharacterized. The transcript has 7 exons. Lineage: Eukaryota; Metazoa; Chordata; Aves; Passeriformes; Pipridae. The record is from RefSeq and is a predicted model, not a curated record.
GUUGUCACCAGGAGCAGUAGCAUCGGGUCCUUGCUGCGCAGCUGCCGCUCGCUCACUGCGAUUUGCAUCGAGGUAGCGCCACAUCCUUCCAGCCACUGCCCCACGGAAAAGGACCAACAGUCCCAUGCCCAGCACUGACUGAGGAGCUCCAGGACAGGCAAGGAGUGCAGGUCACCAUGAAAGUUCCCCACUGGGGGAAACUGGUUGUGAUAAAUCUCAACCGGCCAGGCUGUGCGAAGGGUCCAACCAGCUACAGACAAGUGGGCAGCCACAACGGAGGCUGUGGGAUCCUUGCUUUCUUUGCACAGAAGUCUAUCUAGUUCACGUGCAACUGUGGCAGCUGCCCCUGGUCCAGCAGCUGUCCCACUCGCAGCAGUGCUGGCUGUCCCAGCAGGAGGAUCUCCCUCUAUCCUGCUGGCAGAUGCCUCCCGAUGCAGUGCCGGAUCUGCCAAAACGCUCUCUGUGCCCCCAUGGAUGAUCUGAUGAGCAGCGUAGAUGUGUUUUCUUUGGGACUGCCUCACUGCACAUAAAAAGAGGUCCAUUUUGUCAACAAUGAAUGCAACCAGAUCUCACUUGCAUUUGAACAGCUGACCUUCACCAGCCAGCUCUCAAUUCCCAAGAGAGGUUUCUCUACCCAAGGCAUUUUGGCUUGAAUCAUAUUUGCUUGAACUGCAUCAGGUAUACCGGCAAUACUCUCCUGGUAUUGCUGCAGUCCCUUCCUCCAUCCACAGUGAAUUCCAUCUAAAAGAAAACAGGCUCAAACUGACCAGCAUCUGCCAUUUUAUUCACUUUGCCCUGGAAGGUUGUGGCCCUGCAAGGAAAUAGGAUGGGAAUUCACAUUCCUGGCUCUCACUAGAUCCUUCGUAGAGGAUUUCUCUGCUCUGCAUAACAGUGGCAGGUACAACAACGUGACACCAUUGCUGAGGUUCUAGAAGUCUUGAGCCCAGCAGGAUUUACAAAGCAAACCUUGUGCAUUUGUGACUCAUGCUGUUGCUGUAGAGCCAGGAUCCUUUGCUCCUCUGCCUUCAAGAGCAGCUGCCCAUCCUCCUGGAGUGCGUGAGUGGUGCGCAGCUCUUGGAUCAGAUCCAGUCGCUUCUUCUUCCCUUCAAACAUCUUUAAAAUAAAGGUGUUGAAGACUGAGUUUUCCAAAUGCAAAAGGAAGCAUUCCUGCCUUUCUACACCAGCACUCAGGAGAAGCAAAACAGAACUAGCCAAAGGACUGCCUUAUGAUUUGGUAUGUUCUUUUUCUCUGGAAAGAAGGGAUGAUUUUCCAGUCCUAGAGAGCUAAACUGUACCACAUCACUUGGCUACAAGUGUGAAAUCGCUCCAGGACAGAGUUUUGGAAAUGGUGAUGGCACAUAUACUGCAUAUCACAACCCCCAUGACACAUCAUUACUGCUAUUUCAAUCUCUGCAGGAGAAUCAUUAUCUGUGAACUGGAGCAUGCUCAUCAAACACUGCAUCCUGCAUGAUGACAAGAGCUUCACUCCAGCAAAUUAAUGAAGUGCAUGCUCAGUGCUAAGCAGCCAAGGUCUCACUGACUUCAAUGAGACUAAAGUUAAUUGCCUCACUGGAUUAUGAUAGUGUUGUCAGAUCAGAAGGUUGGAAGCUACUGAAUAACAAUAAUAAUAUGAUGAUGAUGAUGAUGCCUUCUUAUUUCUCAAGAACAAGAGAAUUACAUGUCUAUUAAUUUAUGUCUUUAUAAAAUAAAGUUUACUUAAGGAUUUGGCCAACAGAUAUUGUAAAAUAUUUUCAAUUCUUUGGCUGCUAGUAUCUUUAUAAAAUAAAGAGAGACUAGGAGAGUCUUAAGAAA